CCCACACCCAUGUGUAUAGGACCCAAAAGGAUUACCAUUAAAUAUGGCACAGAUCUCUAGAAACGUUAUCACAUGGGUAUGAGAUAUGAUUUUUCUAGAGAUCUAUGCCAUAUUUAAUGGUGAUCCUUUGGAGUCCUACACACAUGGGUGUAGG
This 154-nucleotide microRNA precursor is filed under the name Amborella trichopoda. RNAcentral describes it as "MIR8565 microRNA precursor family". It matches the Rfam family "MIR8565 microRNA precursor family". Lineage: Eukaryota; Viridiplantae; Streptophyta; Magnoliopsida; Amborellales; Amborellaceae. The record is from Rfam by way of RNAcentral.